CGGACGGGUGAGUAAUGUCUGGGAAACUGCCUGAUGGAGGGGGAUAACUACUGGAAACGGUAGCUAAUACCGCAUAACGUCGCAAGACCAAAGAGGGGGACCUUCGGGCCUCUUGCCAUCAGAUGUGCCCAGAUGGGAUUAGCUAGUAGGUGGGGUAACGGCUCACCUAGGCGACAAUCCCUAGCUGGUCUGAGAGGAUGACCAGCCACACUGGAACUGAGACACGGCCCAGACUCCUACGGGAGGCAGCAUG
This 253-nucleotide ribosomal RNA is filed under the name uncultured bacterium. RNAcentral describes it as "partial 16S ribosomal RNA". It matches the Rfam family "Bacterial small subunit ribosomal RNA", at positions 99 to 353 of the family's 1533-position model. The record is from RNAcentral.